RNAcentral lists this ribosomal RNA (253 nucleotides) under uncultured bacterium. Its description in RNAcentral is "partial 16S ribosomal RNA". It matches the Rfam family "Bacterial small subunit ribosomal RNA", at positions 524 to 776 of the family's 1533-position model. The record is from RNAcentral.
UACGUAGGGUGCAAGCGUUAAUCGGAAUUACUGGGCGUAAAGCGUGCGCAGGCGGUUUUGUAAGACUGUCGUGAAAUCCCCGGGCUUAACCUGGGAAUUGCGAUGGUGACUGCAAGGCUAGAGUUUGGCAGAGGGGGGUAGAAUUCCACGUGUAGCAGUGAAAUGCGUAGAUAUCAAGAGGAACACCUGCGGCGAAGGCGGGUUGCUGGGCCGACACUGACGCUGAGGCGCGAAAGCCAGGGGAGUGAACGGG